GGCAUAUUGAAGAGAUACAGCAUGAGAACAUGCAGAUGUAAUGAUGCCUGCUUAGCAGUGAGGGUUUGGUCAGGGAGGAUAUGGGAGCAGGGAAAUCAGGAUAAGCCUGGACACUGCUCCUCUCAGCAAAUCCCUCUCUGCCCCUUGGUACAGGUGGCAGCAUGAGCUCCCAGGACAUCUGCAGCUCCCCAGGUACUCGUGAGUCCUUCCCUCCCAGACCCAGGGCACUUGGAAGCCCCACCACUGUGAGCUCUGCCCUAUGGCAGCCCUUCACUGCUGUGUCUCCUGCAGGGGAUCUCCUGGCUCCUGCUCUCCAAAUGAACUCAACUUCUGCUCAGCCAGGUACCACAGUUGUGCUCCAGUGUAUUCUCCCUGUGGUGUCACAUGCAAGACGAAUCAUCUUCUGCAAGGAUGGGAUGGAGGCGUACAGCCAGAAAGCCCAUCAAGGGCAGCUGAGCUACUCCGUCGUCUUGAACAUCACAUCAAGAAACGCAGGAAGAUAUACAUGUGGGUACCAGCAGACUAAUAACAUGAAACACAUGAGGAGCUCUGCCCUCAGUGCUGGCCGCAACCUGGAUGUCCCAGGUGCAUUUGCUGGCGUAACCACCCAGGACAUCUGCAGCUCCCCAGGUGAGGUUGAGCGUGGGGAUGGGUGAAAGAAGAGAGGUGUGUGUGGGGUGGUGAUGGCAAGGGAGAGGGAAUUUGUUCUCUGUGUGUGAGCUCUUGGGAAGGAAUCGUUUCCCUGCAUGGAACACAAAGCAGUUUGUGUCCAGUUCUGGAAUUCCCUGUUCAGGAGGGGCAUAGAACUACUGGAGAGAGUCCAGACGAGGGCUGCAAAGAUGGUCAGAGGUCUGGAGCUGAGAGAACUGAGCCUGUUUAACCUGGAAAAGAGGAGACUGAGGGGAGACCUCAUCCAUGUCUAUAAAUAUCUGAGGGGAGGGUGUUGAGAGGAUGGAGCUGGUCUCUUUUCGAUUGUGUCCAGGGAAAGGGCGAGAGACAAUGGGCUCAAACUGAAGCAGAGAAAGUUCCAUCUGAAUACGAGGGGCAUUUCUUUACUGGGAGGGUGACAGAGCACUGGAACAGGCUGCCCAGAGAUGCUGUGGAGUCUCCUCUGGAGAUAUUCCAAAUCCACCUGGAUGCCAUUCUGUGCAGUCUGUCCUUGCUGAUCCUGCUCAGCAGAAGGCUGGACUACAUAACUUUCAGAGGUCCCUUCCAACCUUGGCCAUUCUGUGAUUGUGUGAUCCUCUAGCCCCCAUAAUCACAGACAGAUGAGAGUGGUGGUGUUAAAUGAAGAGGCACACCUCUGCCAUGCCGUUUUUU
RNAcentral lists this long non-coding RNA (1320 nucleotides) under Anas platyrhynchos platyrhynchos (common mallard). RNAcentral's name for it is "lncRNA (ENSAPLG00000024432.1)". The record is from RNAcentral. Lineage: Eukaryota; Metazoa; Chordata; Aves; Anseriformes; Anatidae.